This 446-nucleotide ribosomal RNA is filed under the name uncultured bacterium. RNAcentral's name for it is "partial 16S ribosomal RNA". It matches the Rfam family "Bacterial small subunit ribosomal RNA", at positions 338 to 795 of the family's 1533-position model. The record is from RNAcentral.
CCUACGGGUGGCUGCAGUCGAGAAUCAUUCACAAUGGGGGAAACCCUGAUGGUGCGACGCCGCGUGGGGGAAUGAAGGUCUUCGGAUUGUAAACCCCUGUCAUGUGGGAGCAAAUUAAAAAGAUAGUACCACAAGAGGAAGAGACGGCUAACUCUGUGCCAGCACCCGCGGUAAUACAGAGGUCUCAAGCGUUGUUCGGAAUCACUGGGCGUAAAGGGUGCGUAGGCUGGUUAGUAAUUCGUGUGUGAAAGGCGCGGGCUCAACCCGCGGACGGCACAUGAUACUGCGAGACUAGAGUAAUGGAGGGGGAACCGGAAUUCGCGGUGUAGCAGUGAAAUGCGUAGAUAUCGAGAGGAACACUCGUGGCGAAGGCGGGUUCCUGGACAUUAACUGACGCUGAGGCACGAAGGCCAGGGGAGCGAAAGGGAUUAGAUACCCCAGUAGUC